GUGUUCCAGCUCCAUGAAGAUGGGAGGGGACUGGUGUGCACAGGCCGGAAGUCGCCCGCCCUUGUGGGACAUCACUUCAUUUUCUGAAGCUCUUAGAGAAUGGUGGAGCUGGCCAUGCCCUUUGGACUUCACCAGGUCUGCUUCUCUGGCUGGAAUGUGGGUCAUGCCUGAACUAUUUCUGCAAAUAUAACAUCUUGCUUUUCCAAGACAGAAACCACCCAUAAACCCACGAAGCCAUGAGGCUGGCAUGCAGAUCCAGGAGCUGAACUGCCGGGCCCUCAUUAGCUAGCUAAGGUUCAAUACCUGCCACCCACGACUUAAAGGAGGAAAGAUUUCUUUGGCUCACAAUUUCCAGUGGAUUCAGUCCAGAGGUGGCAGACUUUAGGGCAGAAACACAUGGUGGAAGGAAGGUGGCAGCCAGCGAGAAGCAGAGCGAGAAGGAAAGGGCUAGGGCGGAGAAGACACCCUUCCGGGUCCUAUCCCCAGCCCGGCCCCUUCUGGCCACACCUCACCUUUGCAGUGAGACCUCUGGGGGGUGUCUCGCAGCUGAGCCAUAGCUCCCCUUUUCUGGAUGGUUCCCUGAAUGAUUCUGAUUGUUACCUGAGAUCCUCACCCUGGCCAGGUGUUUCUUACUAAGACUCUGGCCUUGAACAGCGCAGACCAAGGGGUCUGAAGCCAGAAGCCCCCAGCAGCCCUGGCACUCUAUUCCAAAGUUCAGGAUGCACUGAAGAAGGCCAAGAGCUUCUGUGAGUCUCAGGUCUGGGGAAUGAGUGAGUGCAGAGCCCGCGCCCGUGCAAUCAAUCAAGUAGCUGUGUGUGUGUGUGUGUGUGUGUGUGUGUGUGUGUGUGUGUAGUGAAACAUAGAAAAUAGAUUAUUUUAAUUGCUAAUUGUACUUGAGACCCCUACCAAGAUAUUUUUAAAAAUGUGGCCUAAAUGUUCUCCUCAACAGGCGCAGUGAAGGAAUUACAGUUUAUUCAGAGGCUGACGUGCAGCUGCUGAUUGGAGUACAAAGAGCAGUAAUCAAGAAUUCUCACCCACUGCGGUCUGAGAAGCAUGGCCUUUUCCUGGAGUCUGGAAGCACAGCGGUGUCUCAGGAGUUUGCGAUGUCACUCUGGGACGGACCCGGACCGAGAGUCUCAAGGUCACUGGUCAGGCCAGGGAAACCACGUGAGGUCUCAGCUGCAGCGAAGAACGUGUAUCCUGACGAUGUUACCCAGGACUGGACAACGACCCAGGGCAGGUCCAUGGGCUCACCGGAUAGGUGGUAGGAUAUGACUCCACUGUAAGUUUAGGAACAUCUUCCCUGGCAAAUAGGAGCCCUACAUUUCUACUUCUGGAAGUAACAGCCAAGACCCUCCCAGAGGACUCAGCUCCUGCAGAACAACCACAAAAUCUGAACAGGACACAGAAGCAACUACCCGCAGCGCUGGGGAACAGCAGGGGCAGAUGGCUUUGCAGAGGUGGCGAACCUGUGUAAGACCGAGGGCCUUACCAAACGCUCUGAGGAGCUGACUGCAGGGAAGAACACCUGGGAAGGAACACACCGGACAAGUUGGAAAGUAAAACAGACCUUAGUCUGGCCAGACUGCACUCCCAAAGCAAAGUAGCUUAGAGAGGCGACUAGCCCAGAGUCCAAGGCUCUUU
Heterocephalus glaber (naked mole-rat) is the source of this 1644-nucleotide non-coding RNA. Lineage: Eukaryota; Metazoa; Chordata; Mammalia; Rodentia; Bathyergidae. The record is from RefSeq and is a predicted model, not a curated record.